CCGUCGCUCAACAGAUCGCUAUUCGAAGCUCACAAACAAAGAGACUAGGUAAAACUGGUCUCUUACCCGUGUACUACGCUUUGGGAGAAAGUCCCCGGACGUCUCUGGUUUUCCUUUUGGAGGGCUAGGGCCUGCGGAAACGCGCCGCCAUAGAAGCACUGCGGCUUACCUUGGUUCCUUGGCUCUUUGGUUUGCGUCAUGCCCCGCCUGCCGCUACAUCUGUAUGCUGCAGAGUCGCUUGUUACAUCUUGAUGUCCUACUGUUCGUCUCGUCGCUUGGCCCAUUACAGGAUGAAGAUACGAGUCCGAGCUGAGUACGGGGUGAGCUGGAGGCUCUUUAUGUGCGGUGAUUUGGACAAUGGAUGGUAGAUGGACGCUGUGGCCAUUCCAGAUUGUUGCGGGAAUCGAGGGAUUGUUGUCGAGGUUGAUAGAUAUGCGAUUGCUUGGUGUUCUUUGGAUACCAGGUUACUCGAUGGGGCUCAUUCUUGAUGCGAGG
RNAcentral lists this RNase MRP RNA (495 nucleotides) under [Torrubiella] hemipterigena. RNAcentral's name for it is "Torrubiella hemipterigena RNase MRP". It matches the Rfam family "RNase MRP". From Rfam's summary of the family: RNase MRP is an enzymatically active ribonucleoprotein with two distinct roles in eukaryotes. In mitochondria it plays a direct role in the initiation of mitochondrial DNA replication. In the nucleus it is involved in precursor rRNA processing, where it cleaves the internal transcribed spacer 1 between 18S and 5.8S rRNAs. Lineage: Eukaryota; Fungi; Ascomycota; Sordariomycetes; Hypocreales; Clavicipitaceae. The record is from Rfam by way of RNAcentral.